This is a small nuclear RNA of Monodelphis domestica (gray short-tailed opossum), 104 nucleotides long. NCBI's taxonomy places the organism in Eukaryota, Metazoa, Chordata, Mammalia, Didelphimorphia, Didelphidae. The record is from Ensembl.
GUGCUUGCUCUGGCAGCACAUAAAUUAAAAUUCAGACGAUAUAGGGAUUAGUAUGGCCCCUGCAGAAAGAUGACACCCAAAUUUGUGAAGCGUUCCAUAUUUUU